UAUAUAGUGCUCCAAAGUGCUCAGCUGACACCAGCCGUUACUGUUACUGCUUUGGUGUUACUCUGAGGCCCCAGGAUCCUACCCCGACAACAAACCAAGCUGUCCGUCCUCUCUGGAAAAGUCCAUGCUUCAUGUCAGAUUCCCCCCUGCAGCCCCAAACAAAGCACCUGCCCUGUAGUACAGCCUCACCUUCUUCAAGUCCCAACCCUGUUAAGGCCUUUCCUUGCUUGCUUCUCCCUGGAGGCACCACCCCCAGGUCCUGUCUGGUGGACCCUACCUUCUGGAAGCUCCCUAAGGAGCAGGAUCACCUCUGAGGAAGCACCCCCAUCAUGCCCACCCCCCACCCCGAGGAGGCUGUCGGCGGCCAAUUUUGCCACCGGUGGGCCCUUUGCUUGUCAACGCUACCUGGGAAGCUCCUGCCCGACCCUGCAAGCCUGCCCCAAACUGUUCCUUAUUGUCUUUUUCUUCCUCUGGCUGCCCUCUGAGGCCCCGCUCCCGUGGGACCGGUAUCUGCUAAUUGACUCAGGGCCCCCCGGCCAGGCCCCACACCUUGCAGGUGACUCCUCACCUACCAGGUGAACCCACGGGGCUUCCGACUGGCUCUUGCGGAACAACCCUGGCCCAGACCCUGGGGCUAGCCCCAGAGGUGGCUCCUGACCCUUUAGGACCCUCCCAAAGCCCUGCCCCUCCAGUGACCCCCACCCUCAGGCCAGGUAUCCCUACAGGCUCCGCCCCCAAGAAAGCUCCUUAAUUGCCUCCUCAGCAACGUCACCGUAACAUACAGGCCCGUCUCCAGAGGUGCCACUCACACUCAGGCCCCGCCCUCAGAGGCAGUCCCCCUGCUCAGGCCCUGCCCUCCGCAGGCGUCCUCCUGCCGGUCCUCCCCGCUGCCCUCACCUGCAGGCCCAGCUCCAGCGCGAUGCCCAACAGCGUGGUGUCUGGUGGAGCGCUGGCCGGAGUGGCCGUUUUGCAGGCAUCCUGUGCCAGCUUGAAAAGCAGGGCAGAAAGCCACCUGAGGAUCCCUAAUCAUCAAGGGCAUCAAUUCUGGACGCAGAAUACCAGGAUUUGUUCAAGUCCCCGCCCUGCCACUAGCCAGCUGUGCAACCCUCAUCAAGUUACUCCACCUCCCUCUCUGUGGCUGCCCCAUCUGUACAAUGGGUACUAACGCAAAGGUACCCACCUCACAGGGCCAUGGUGAGCCCGUAUUUGUAAAGGCUUUAACAAGGCCAGAGCUAUACACACGUGUGGGCUUUUAUUACUAUUAUCAUCAUUUGCCCAGAUUCCAUAAUCUGUCCCUCAACUCCAGCCACAUGGGCCUGCUGUGGUCCUCAAACACACUAGGCACAGUCCAGCCUCAGAGCCUUUGCACUGGCUGUUCCCUCUGCCUGGAAUGUCUUCCCAGAUGCUCUGGAAUCAACUGUGCCCUCCCAAAAUUGGUAUGUUGAAGCCCUGACCCACAGUGUGAUGGUAUUUGGAGGUGAGCCUUUGGGAGGCAAUCAGGUUCAGGUGAGGUCAUGAGGGUGGGGUCCCCAUGAUGGGAUUAGUGUCCUUCUAAGAGAGACCAGCCUCCCUCCAUGUGAGGACACAGCAAGAAGGUGGCCAUCUGCAGGCCAGGAAGAGAGUUCCUCACCAGUAAUGGACCAUGUGAGCACCUGAUCUUGGGCUUCCAGCCUCUAGAACUGUGAGAAAAUAAAUAUUUGUUGUUUAAGCCA
Manis javanica (Malayan pangolin) is the source of this 1712-nucleotide long non-coding RNA. RefSeq lists it as uncharacterized. The record is from RefSeq and is a predicted model, not a curated record. Lineage: Eukaryota; Metazoa; Chordata; Mammalia; Pholidota; Manidae.